RNAcentral lists this long non-coding RNA (1350 nucleotides) under Gadus morhua (Atlantic cod). RNAcentral describes it as "lncRNA (ENSGMOG00000030908.1)". The record is from RNAcentral. Lineage: Eukaryota; Metazoa; Chordata; Actinopteri; Gadiformes; Gadidae.
GCACAAUUGUUAUGCUUAUCCGCUGUACUAUUAAACCAGUGUGUUUGUAUGUGUUUCUGCCUCUGUCAGUUUUUUUAUGUCUUUAAAUUAUAUAAAAUGAAAGAUAUGUAUAAUUGGAUGCAUUGGUUUGAAGUUAUCUAUCCAUCUAUCAAAAUCGAGGCCUCUCUCCAACGCAAGAUACACACAUAAUUUCUCAAUUUUGAUUUGGAUUUUGACCCCCUAUACUUUAGAAACUUGUUUGGUAUUUUAAUAUUGUAGCGAGCAGCACGGGAAGGAUGAGACAGGAGCCCAGGUUUAACCGUUGAAUAUAGUUCCGCUCCCCAUACACCGCACGACAAGGGAACUGCCUUUAAUAACACACCAUCGUUAUCACAGAAACACAACAUAGCUGACCAACGCACAUAACGCUCACACUCACGGUGGCGACAACAAUGCCCCCACCUUAGGGGUCAGACGUCCUGACGACCCCAACACCCAUCGCACAGUCCAAAGUGUUCAGGAGCCGGCCCGGCCGCCUCGGCCCCUGCCGGUGGCUGCCCCGCGGCGGCGCAGUCUGAGACGCCCGUCUCCAAUAGCGGGCGGCAUACUACCUCCUCUGGCAACCCCAGAGGGAGCAGGAGCCCUGGGGGUGUGGUCGGGGACCACCUCCAUCGGGACCCCCACCAGGUUCUGCUGUGCGGGCCUGCCUGGUGAGGGAGAGAGGGAGAGGAGGAGGGGGAGGAAGAGGGGGAGAGGAGGAGGAGAGGAGGAGGAGCAGGAGGAGGAGGAGAGGGGGAGGAGGAGGGGGGGAGGAGGGAGAGGGGGAGAGGAGGAGCAGGAGGAGAGGAGGAGUAGGAGGGGGAGAGGAGGAGAGGGAGAGAGGAGGAGGAGAGGGGGAGGAGGAAGGGUGGAGGAGGGGAGAGGAGGAGGAGGUGGGGGAGGGGGAGGAGAGGGGGAGGAGGGGAGGGGGAGAGGAGAGGGGGAGUGGAAGAGGAGGAUGAGAGGGGUAGAGGAGGAGGAGGAGGAGAGGGGGGAGAGGAGGAGAGGAGAGGGGGGGAGGAGGAGGGGGAGAGGGGAGAGGAGGGGGAGAGGAGUAGGAGAGGGGGGGAGAGGAGGGGGAGAGGGAGAGAGGAGGAGGAGGAGCGGAGGAGGAGAGGAGGAGGAGGGUAGAGGAGGAGGGGUGGAGGAGGAGCGGAGGAGGAGGAGGAGAGGGUGAGAUGGGGAGAGAUGAGGAGGAGGAGGAGGAGGAGGACGGUAAUUUGGCCGUGGCCAACUUCUAUACGCUCACUUAGGACAUCACAUGAACCUAGCUGGUGUGUCCUCGCAUGAACCGUGAGUUGUCCUCAAGUAAACUCUAGCUGAACCUUACAU